This 1599-nucleotide unclassified non-coding RNA is filed under the name Hevea brasiliensis (rubber tree). Lineage: Eukaryota; Viridiplantae; Streptophyta; Magnoliopsida; Malpighiales; Euphorbiaceae. The record is from RNAcentral.
UGCGCUUACCUCUAAGAAACCUGGUUUGUCAAUGUCACAUUAUUUUUACUGAUUAUAUCUGUUGUUCUAUUGUGGUGUUGUGAGAAACUUUGUUGCUAGUAUUAGCAGAUGCUUUAGCCAGAAAUUAUUGAGAAGUUAUGGUUGAGAGUUGAUGUUAAUUAUGUGUUUGAAAAUAUGUUUCUGAGAACUGAGAAGGUAGCUGUUUCGUGUCUUACCAAAAUUGAAAGCGAAUUUAUAUUGUAUAAGGGGUAAAUUACACAAGUGGUCUCUGAACUUAGGUGCGGUAUCUAAACUUCAAUUUGUAAUAUAAAAACCCACCAACUUUAAUUUAGUUUUUAGUUAAUAUAGAAGUCCUUAUGACCUAUAAUAAUGGUUUUACAUGUUUUCUGUUGAUGUGGCGUCAUGUUAAAAAAACAAAAGAGCUAAAUAGCCUUAACCAUCUACCUCACUCUCCUACACUGGAGCUUUGCCAUCUUCUUCUAUUUUUCGUCUUUUUCUAUUUUCUCAACAAACAAACAUGUUUUCUUUCCCACCCACAUCCUAAUCUUCUCUCAUUUUUGUCUCUUCCCCCACUUUCUACCCUGUUUCUCCCUCUCUCUGCUUAAAAAAUGAAAAAAUUUUCAUCCCAUGGACAAAUCAGAAUGACAAAAUUUUCAAUCUACAAAUAAAUUUCUCAAAUCAUAAAAUAACAAGUUCUUUCAAUAAAUUUGAGAACUUCAAUAUAAAAAAUCAACAAAUGUAUUCAACUGAACGCAAGAUUACAAUAAAAUCAACAAAACCUGUUUAAAAAAAAAAAAACUCCACAUUCAUUAUCGCAACAAUUAAAGAAAGACACCAGAUCACUAGUUCACUGUUGCCAAAGAAUCUGGCUUGAACAAACUCAAUUGGAAAAAGGAAGGCUGAUUGUUUAUUGGGUUGGAGCUAUGCCAAGAAGCUUUGUUGCUGCAAUUCGAGCUUAUUAAAUUAUUGCUCGUGGUUCAUCGUGUGGAGGACACUUUGUUUCUGCAAUGCCUUUCCCAUGCUUAUCAUCCAUCCCAAUUCAACAAGAAACCAAUCAAAGCCCUAUUCUUCAAACCCCCCAUUUUGAUCAUACCCACAAACCCAAUCAAAGCAAGAACCUAAUAGGCAUCAUCUCAUCAUACUUACAAACCCCUCAUUCUCUAAAGCCACUAUUACAGAAAAUGGAUAAACCCUCAACAAAGCAGAAGAAGUAGGCGAAAAGAGGUAGAGAAACAACAAAACUAGAACCAAACUGACCAAGAAACAUUGUAUCAUCAAUCAUCAUCAUAAAAAAAAAAAAGAUUAAAAGUAAAAUAUGUGAUUGAAUAUUAGAUUUGGGUUUCUCUAUUGCUAUAAGUGGACACUAAAAAAAGGAGAAGAAGGAGAAAGACAAGGAGAUUGUUAGGGAUUUGGGGAAGAAAGAGCUGGGAUAGGUGGGAAGAAGAAGAAGAAGAAAAUGUUGGGGUUUUGGGGAAGAAAAGGUUGGGCUGGGAUGUGUGGAGAGAGAGAGAGAGAGAGUAAUUUAAUAGGAGGGGUAAAGGUGAUUAAAUUGGUACUGGCUCUGGUCGGUGAUGUGGGUGCACUAGAUGCUGACUUUAC